UUUUACUGGCCUUACUAGCCACAACAGAAUACAAGCCGGAUUCCUUGUUUGAUUGUGGAAAACUGAGUCAAAAGACUAUAAAUGCAAGGCUUCUCUUAUUACCUGUCGGCUGGAGGACUCAGGAGUAUCGCUUAAUAAAAGUUAAUCAUGAGAAACUUGUUCAUUAAUUACAGUUCAGGCCGGCUGCCUGCCUGCCCGAUUACUUUGCCGAUUCUUCCUCAUGCUAAGGCAUGUCUUCCUUCGGUCUGGGUUUAGACUUUUUGUUUUUGUCCUUUUUUCUUGUUACUCCACUGGAUCUUUGUCAUUUUUAUUAAAACAAUGUUGGCUGAAACCAUCUGUCUGGUGUCUGUGAAGAGUCCCAGUCAUGAAGCUCAUAGAAAUCCAAGGAGGGAUGAAUCAAUGGCGACAGGACUUAAAGAUGAAGAAGUCGGAAAUUAAUGUAUUACCACUUACCAAGAUAUACCAACUCCUGUAAUUAUUUUGGGUAUAAAGGGUGACUCUACAGUGUGAGUGUGUUAUAGAAAAAUUCAAAAUCCAAUUUAUUCAAAGUUGGCUCUUAGUUUUGUAGUUUGGACCAUCAUUUCUAUCAGUUAUAAUAACAUUGUGCUCACCAAAGUAGUCUGAGGACACAGUGACAUUGCUACAACAUGUCAUGACGCUCAGACAGAUUGUAAACAAGCCAACAGUUUAUGCACAUUAUACAGACCAUUUUAUUCAAAGGAAAAAUGUCAGCAACAAGCCCUCAUUUCACAAAAACGUGUUUGCACUUGGGGUGGACGAUACCAUAUUUGAUUCUUAGCAAAUGACAAAUAAUUAGGGCCAGAAUCACUUAUAUCAGUAACAAUCCAAGACCUUCUAUUACUAGAAGUGGCUAAUGUACUGUCACAGCCAGGUGUCAUGAUAUAUGAAAUGAAAGCAUCAUUAUUAGACUACUUCUGAACUACUACUACUUCUAGACUACUACUACAGUUUCAUUACAACCAAGUGGUUUGCAAUACAUUAGGCAUUUCUUCUGCAAAUAUUCACAAAACAAGAAAGAAGAAGAAAUUGUCAACCAUAAGGCUUUAUUGUGUAAAUUAUCUAAAUUAAGGAGGUAAAUUUUUGACCUUUUGCCAUCAACUCCUGUCUGAAAUAGUUUAAUC
This is a long non-coding RNA of Micropterus dolomieu (smallmouth bass), 1142 nucleotides long. RefSeq lists it as uncharacterized. NCBI's taxonomy places the organism in Eukaryota, Metazoa, Chordata, Actinopteri, Centrarchiformes, Centrarchidae. The record is from RefSeq and is a predicted model, not a curated record. The transcript has 3 exons.